GGGGGCGGAUGGGGUCUGGUGGCCUCCUCGGUCUUCAAAACCGAUGCGACCCGGUUCCGCCGGGUUUGGUGGGUUCGAUUCCCGCACGCUUCCGCCA
Molecule: transfer RNA, 97 nt
Filed under: Gemmatirosa kalamazoonensis
Lineage: Bacteria; Pseudomonadati; Gemmatimonadota; Gemmatimonadia; Gemmatimonadales; Gemmatimonadaceae
Description: tRNA-SeC (TCA) (tRNA-SeC-TCA-1-1)
Rfam family: Selenocysteine transfer RNA
Source: RNAcentral